Molecule: ribosomal RNA, 429 nt
Filed under: Bacteroidota bacterium
Lineage: Bacteria; Pseudomonadati; Bacteroidota
Description: Bacteroidetes bacterium partial 16S ribosomal RNA
Rfam family: Bacterial small subunit ribosomal RNA
Source: RNAcentral
UAGGGAAUCUUCGGCAAUGGGGGGAACCCUGACCGAGCAACGCCGCGUGAGUGAAGAAGGUUUUCGGAUCGUAAAGCUCUGUUGUUAAGGAAGAACGAGUGUGAGAAUGGAAAGUUCAUGCUGUGACGGUACUUAACCAGAAAGGGACGGCUAACUACGUGCCAGCAGCCGCGGUAAUACGUAGGUCCCGAGCGUUGUCCGGAUUUAUUGGGCGUAAAGCGAGCGCAGGCGGUUAGAUAAGUCUGAAGUUAAAGGCAGUGGCUCAACCAUUGUAGGCUUUGGAAACUGUUUAACUUGAGUGCAGAAGGGGAGAGUGGAAUUCCAUGUGUAGCGGUGAAAUGCGCAGAUAUUAGGAGGAAUACCGGUGGCGAAGGCGACUUUCUGGCCAUAAUCUGACGCUGAGGUACGAAAGCGUGGGUAGCAAACAGG